AUGAACGCUGGCGGCGUGCCUAAUACAUGCAAGUCGAGCGCACGGACGAGAAGCUUGCUUUUCUGAUGUUAGCGGCGGACGGGUGAGUAACACGUGGAUAACCUACCUAUAAGACUGGGAUAACUUCGGGAAACCGGAGCUAAUACCGGAUAAUAUUUUGAACCGCAUGGUUCAAAAGUGAAAGACGGUCUUGCUGUCACUUAUAGAUGGAUCCGCGCUGCAUUAGCUAGUUGGUAAGGUAACGGCUUACCAAGGCAACGAUGCAUAGCCGACCUGAGAGGGUGAUCGGCCACACUGGAACUGAGACACGGUCCAGACUCCUACGGGAGGCAGCAGUAGGGAAUCUUCCGCAAUGGGCGAAAGCCUGACGGAGCAACGCCGCGUGAGUGAUGAAGGUCUUCGGAUCGUAAAACUCUGUUAUUAGGGAAGAACAUAUGUGUAAGUAACUGUGCACAUCUUGACGGUACCCAAUCAGAAAGCCACGGCUAACUACGUG
RNAcentral lists this ribosomal RNA (496 nucleotides) under uncultured bacterium. RNAcentral describes it as "partial 16S ribosomal RNA". It matches the Rfam family "Bacterial small subunit ribosomal RNA", at positions 29 to 507 of the family's 1533-position model. The record is from RNAcentral.